Molecule: long non-coding RNA, 357 nt
Organism: Ornithorhynchus anatinus (platypus)
Lineage: Eukaryota; Metazoa; Chordata; Mammalia; Monotremata; Ornithorhynchidae
Exons: 3
Source: RefSeq, a predicted model, not a curated record
UACUUCCCCAUCCAUUAGGCCAAUCAUUGGGAAGCAUCACUCUUCCUAUGUUUAUCUUCAAUUGGCCACAGCAGCAGUGAGGAAUAUGUAUGAGGAGCCCAGCUACUCUAAUUUUGCUGGAUCAGGAAUGGAAGGUGGGGGAAAAUAUAGGAAGAAAGCAGCUCAAAUAGAAGAGCAGAGAAGGGAAAAGCAAGAUUUCUUUUGCAAGGUCAUUCAAUCCUGACUGCUGGUGAAUUCCUGGGAGCAAGCGCCGUUCAUCCCAUGAGAUAUAGAACCGUUCCAUUAACAUUUGCUGGUGCAUCUUCCCUGGAAUAUCUGCCCCUCAAUCACUUUUUCAUCCAAUCCCUUUAUAAAUCA